Molecule: long non-coding RNA, 239 nt
Organism: Phyllostomus discolor (pale spear-nosed bat)
Lineage: Eukaryota; Metazoa; Chordata; Mammalia; Chiroptera; Phyllostomidae
Exons: 3
Source: RefSeq, a predicted model, not a curated record
AAGAAGUUCACUCCAAGGCAUAUCAUAAUUAAAAUGGCAAAAUUUAAAGACAAAGAGAGAAUCUUAAAGGCAGCAAGGAAGAAAGUGCUAGUAACAUAUAAGUGAGCUCCAAUAAAGCUAUCAGUUGAUUUCUCAACAGAAAUACUACAAGCCAGAAGGGAAUGGCAUGAACUAUUCCAAGUAGUGAAAAGCAAAGGCCUGCAAACAAGACUACUCAGCAAGGGUAUUUGAAACUGAAG